This is a non-coding RNA of Jatropha curcas, 74 nucleotides long. The record is from Rfam. NCBI's taxonomy places the organism in Eukaryota, Viridiplantae, Streptophyta, Magnoliopsida, Malpighiales, Euphorbiaceae.
GCUAGAAUAGCUUAGUUGGUUAGAGCGUGUGGUUGUUAACCACAAGGUCAAAGGUUCAAGCUCUUUUUCUAGUG